Molecule: long non-coding RNA, 1629 nt
Filed under: Homo sapiens (human)
Lineage: Eukaryota; Metazoa; Chordata; Mammalia; Primates; Hominidae
Description: HSALNT0284689
Source: RNAcentral
GGGAGACUGAGGCAUGGCGGGAUGCAGGUCCCAAGCCCUUCCCCGCGGGGAGGCAGCUAAGGCCCGGCAAGAAAUCGAGCACAGCAGCUGCUAGCGCAGGUGCUAAGCCCCUCACUGCCCGGGGCUUGCGGGCCGGCCUGCUGCUCCGAGUGCUGGGCCAGCCGAGCCCACGCCCCCCCGGAACUGGCGCUGGCCCGCAAGCGCCGCGCGCAGCCCCAGUUUCCGCCCGCGCCUCUCCCUCCACGCCUCCUCGCAAGCUGAGGGAGUCGGCUCCGGCCUUGGCCAGCCCAGAAAGGGGCUCCCACAGUGCAACGGUGGGCUGAAGGGCCAGAGUGGGCGCCAAGGGCGAGGAGGCGCCGAGAGCGAGUGGGGGCUGCCAGCACGGUGUCACCUCUCACCAGUAGUUGUGAUUUUUGCUGUCACCCCCAUGGAUUAUGAAUUCACUUUGUCUGGGUAACAGUGGAAACCCUCGGAAGUUGUUUCCACUGUUUCAUCUAAAAGAAGUCGCCAAAACGAAGUUUUCUCAGUGCCAAAGCAUGGACUCAGUGACUGGCAAUGUUUGGGAUUGCAGAGGCUCCAGUAGCCUGGGAAGAGAGCAGUUUAAGAAUUUUACCUAAAGUCACCGUGCAAGGGGGAUGAGCUCCAGGGACUGUCAUUUUUCACAGAAUGAGUCAUGAACUCAAAGGUCUGGCUAGUUGUGGUCAUGAAAGAUUCCCUAGACUCAUUCACCAGAGCAAGAUGCCUUUCAGUGUUGAGGUCACCCUAAAGAAAUAGAACCAGAAGAUUGCAGAAUUGCGGCCUUCGAUUCUCCUCUCUAAGUAGACUGAGUACACUUGAAGACAACAAUAUGGGCAUUCAUUAGAUGGAAUUUGGAAGACAAAGCUGAGGUUAAAAAUUACAUUUCUUUUGACUAAACUUAGGCAGGACAUUUAGUCUAGCGUUCACCACAGGUCUCAUUGGUCCCUACUACCUGUACCAGACUUUCCACAGGCACACUAUAUGCGUGGCCAUUAAGGUUUUUAGUUUGCAUUCCCAGGAAUAAAUUGAUUUCUCACUUUGAUAACAUGCUGUGCUACUUCUGGCUUUUACAUUAAAACCCUUAGAGGAUGAUAAGUAUGGUUACAGAACACAUUGUCUGAGUUUCAGAUCUGGCUUAUUCACUUAAUAAAUGCUAUAGUUUGGAUAUUCAUCCACCCCCCGAUAUCUCGCAUUGAAAUUUAAUCCUCAUUGAUGGAAAUGAGGCCUAAUUGGAGCUGUUUGGGUCAUGUGGGUGGAUUCCUCAUGAAUGGCUUGACAUCGUCCUCAAAGUAAUGAGCGAGUUCUUGCUCUGUUAGUUCCCAUGAGAGCUGGUUGUUAAGAAGAGCCUGGCACCUCCACUCUCUUUCUCUUGCUUCCUAUCUCACCGUGUGAUCUCUGCACAGUUGACCCCACUUUGUCUUCUGCCAUGAGUAGAAGCAGCCUGAGUCCCUCAACAGAAGCCAAGCAGAUGCUGGCACCAUGCUUCUUGUACAGCCUACACAACAUGAGCCAAAUAAAGCUAUUUUCUUUAUAAAUUACCCAGCCUCAGGUAAUCCUUGAAAGCAAUACUAAAUGGACUAAAACAGUAACUAUGUGACUACUUUAUACCAG